This 1551-nucleotide ribosomal RNA is filed under the name Malassezia obtusa. RNAcentral's name for it is "eukaryotic LSU rRNA". The stretch from base 905 to 1551 matches the Rfam family "Eukaryotic large subunit ribosomal RNA", at positions 1 to 637 of the family's 3401-position model. The record is from RNAcentral. Lineage: Eukaryota; Fungi; Basidiomycota; Malasseziomycetes; Malasseziales; Malasseziaceae.
CUGAUGACGUCGCUACUACCGAUUGAUGGCUUAGUGAGCCUUUGGGAUUGGCAGCCAACACCGGCAACGGUAGCUGGCCGCCGAAAACUUAGGCAAACUUGGUCAUUUAGAGGAAGUAAAAGUCGUAACAAGGUUUCUGUAGGUGAACCUGCAGAAGGAUCAUUAGUGAAAGCAAGGGCCUGCCAUACGGACGGCGCGUACUCCGCGUGAAACGUCUCUGGCGCCCAACUUUACACCAAUAUCCACAAACCCGUGUGCACACUGUUGAGGGGAAAAGUUUUCUUUUGGAAGCUUUCCCCUCAAACGCUUGAAACAAACUCGUAUGGUUGUAUGAACGUGGAAAUCGUUGGACCGUAACUGGCCAACAAACAAACAAUACAACUUUCGACAACGGAUCUCUUGGUUCUCCCAUCGAUGAAGAACGCAGCGAAACGCGAUAGGUAAUGUGAAUUGCAGAAUUCCGUGAAUCAUCGAAUCUUUGAACGCACCUUGCGCUCUAUGGUAUUCCGUGGAGCAUGCCUGUUUGAGUGCCGUGAAUUCUCUCUCCCCAAGCGGUUGCGAUUAUUGCGCUGCUUUUGGCGGACGAGGUUGGAUGGGUGCUUCUGCCUGUUUCUUGCUAAACAGGCUCGCCCGAAAUGCAUUAGCGCCUUUUUGGGACACAAUCUCUGCAAUACCGCUCCUGAAGGGAGGGCGGCAGAGAGCGGGGGGGUUCCCACCCGUUAGCCAUACCAAACUUUGCCCAGGCAAGCGCAUGGCAUGAUACGUCAUUUGCUGUGUGCGCGCUCUAGGCAAGGGGCCGACGCGGUGCCUUCUGCACUCUGUGAGUUGUGUUGGUGCGCUACCAAUCCUGCGUGGAGGCUGGUCCGUGCGAGCAGCCUUGUGAACGCAUUCCCUUUUUCAUUUCUGGUCUCAAAUCAGGUAGGAUCACCCGCCGAACUUAAGCAUAUCAUUAAGCGGAGGAAAAGAAACUAACAAGGAUUCCCCUAGUAACGGCGAGUGAAGAGGGAAGAGCUCAAAUUUGAAAGCUGGCACCUCCGGUGUCCGCGUUGUAAUCUCGAGACGUGUUUUCCGUGCGGCGCUAUGGACAAGUUCCUUGGAACAGGACAUCGUAGAGGGUGAAAAUCCCGUACUUGCCAUGGACGUACCGUGCUUUGCGAUACACGCUCUAAGAGUCGAGUUGUUUGGGAUUGCAGCUCAAAAUGGGUGGUAGACUCCAUCUAAAGCUAAAUAUCGGGGAGAGACCGAUAGCGAACAAGUACCGUGAGGGAAAGAUGAAAAGCACUUUGGAAAGAGAGUUAAAAGUACGUGAAAUUGUCGAAAGGGAAGCGCUUGAAGUCAGCCAUGCGCUCAGGACUCAGCCUGGCUUCUGCUGGGUGUACUUUCUGGGUUGCAAGUCAGCAUUGGUUCGGAUCGUCGGAGAAGCGUAGAAGGAAUGUGGCGUCUUCGGGCGUGUUAUAGACUUCUACUGGAUACGACGAUCUGGAUCAAGGAACGCAGCGCGCCUUAUGGCGGGUCUUCGGACACCUCGCGCUAGGAUGCUGCUACCGAUGU